GAGCUGACCAGAAAACUGAAGUUAUCAGAGCAGCUGAAGGAACUCAGCAAGCUGUUACCUCCAGCCACUCCAAGUAUCCAAGUAUCUCACAGGAGGAAUGCAGAUGCUUAAUUCUUCACAGCUCUCAGAAGGAUGCUGAAUGAACAGCAUAAUCCUCAGCCAGGACCACAAGCCUGGACUUCAUGCCCUGCAACUCAGCACAUGUCAAACCCCACCAUGGACACCAGGCAGUGGUUCCCUCGUGGACAACACCGAGGACGCCAAGUGGCCACACAGAACAGAGGGAAGGGGGUCCCGUUCCCAGCCAGAGGAGGCUGCAGCACUCACCGGUCUGUCUGGAGAACGUGGAUGAGGUGUUCCAUGGCCUGUAUGCCGACCUCCAACCGGUAUUUCUGUUCGGAGAAAACCAGAUUUGUCAGCGGUCGGAGCCCGAACACCGAACAAAGCUUCUUUAGUAGUAC
Long non-coding RNA from Lepidothrix coronata (blue-crowned manakin), 461 nucleotides. RefSeq lists it as uncharacterized. The transcript has 3 exons. The record is from RefSeq and is a predicted model, not a curated record. NCBI's taxonomy places the organism in Eukaryota, Metazoa, Chordata, Aves, Passeriformes, Pipridae.